This is a non-coding RNA of Acanthosepion pharaonis, 109 nucleotides long. NCBI's taxonomy places the organism in Eukaryota, Metazoa, Mollusca, Cephalopoda, Sepiida, Sepiidae. The record is from the annotation of a GenBank genome assembly.
GAUCAUAUCACGUUGAAACACCGGUUCUUGUAUGAUCACCGAAGCUAAGCAACAUUGUUCCUGGUCAGUACCUCGAUGAGUGACCACUUUAUAAGAUCAUGUGUUGUAA